Molecule: ribosomal RNA, 492 nt
Filed under: uncultured bacterium
Lineage: Bacteria
Description: partial 16S ribosomal RNA
Rfam family: Bacterial small subunit ribosomal RNA
Source: RNAcentral
AGUGAACGCUGGCGGUAGGCCUAACACAUGCAAGUCGAACGGCAGCACAGUAAGAGCUUGCUCUUACGGGUGGCGAGUGGCGGACGGGUGAGGAAUACAUCGGAAUCUACUUUUUCGUGGGGGAUCACGUAGGGAAACUUACGCUAAUACCGCAUACGACCUACGGGUGAAAGCAUGGGAUCUUCGGACCUUGCGCGAUUGAAUGAGCCGAUGUCGGAUUAGCUAGUUGGCGGGGUAAAGGCCCACCAAGGCGACGAUCCGUAGCUGGUCUGAGAGGAUGAUCAGCCACACUGGAACUGAGACACGGUCCAGACUCCUACGGGAGGCAGCAGUGGGGAAUAUUGGACAAUGGGCGCAAGCCUGAUCCAGCCAUACCGCGUGGGUGAAGAAGGCCUUCGGGUUGUAAAGCCCUUUUGUUGGGAAAGAAAAGCAGCAGGUUAAUACCCCGCUGUUCUGACGGUACCCAAAGAAUAAGCACCGGCUAACUUCGUG